AGUCAAUAGAUACCCGGGUAGUCCACGCCGUAAACGAUGAGUACUGGGUGUAGGAGGUAUCGACUCCUUCUGUGCCGCAGUUAACACAAUAAGUACUCCGCCUGGGAAGUACGGUCGCAAGAUUAAAACUCAAAGGAAUUGACGGGGGCCCGCACAAGCAGCGGAGCAUGUGGUUUAAUUCGAAGCAACGCGAAGAACCUUACCUAGACUUGACAUCUCCUGAAUAGUGUAGAGAUACAUGAAGCCCUUCGGGGUCGAGGAAGGACAGGUGGUGCAUGGUUGUCGUCAGCUCGUGUCGUGAGAUGUUGGGUUAAGUACCCGCAACGAGCGC
Molecule: ribosomal RNA, 331 nt
Filed under: uncultured bacterium
Lineage: Bacteria
Description: bacterial SSU rRNA
Rfam family: Bacterial small subunit ribosomal RNA
Source: RNAcentral